Molecule: ribosomal RNA, 465 nt
Filed under: uncultured bacterium
Lineage: Bacteria
Description: bacterial SSU rRNA
Rfam family: Bacterial small subunit ribosomal RNA
Source: RNAcentral
UCCAGACUCCUACGGGAGGCAGCAGUGAGGAAUAUUGGUCAAUGGGCGCGAGCCUGAACCAGCCAAGUAGCGUGAAGGAUGACUGCCCUACGGGUUGUAAACUUCUUUUAUAAAGGAAUAAAGUGAGGCACGUGUGCCUUUUUGUAUGUACUUUAUGAAUAAGGAUCGGCUAACUCCGUGCCAGCAGCCGCGGUAAUACGGAGGAUCCGAGCGUUAUCCGGAUUUAUUGGGUUUAAAGGGUGCGUAGGCGGACGCUUAAGCCGGGGGUAAAAUGGGGGGGCUCAACCUCGGCGAGCCGUUGAAACUGGGUGCCUUGAGUGGGCGAGAAGUACGCGGAAUGCGUGGUGUAGCGGUGAAAUGCAUAGAUAUCACGCAGAACUCCGAUUGCGAAGGCAGCUUACUAAACUGCCACUGACAUUGAUGCUCGAAAGUGUGGGUAUCAAACAGGAUUAGAUACCCUUGUAA